Molecule: ribosomal RNA, 468 nt
Filed under: uncultured bacterium
Lineage: Bacteria
Description: partial 16S ribosomal RNA
Rfam family: Bacterial small subunit ribosomal RNA
Source: RNAcentral
AACGAACGCUGGCGGCGUGCCUAACACAUGCAAGUCGAACGGAAACGCCGUGCUUUUUUGCGCUGCUCGAGUGCCGAACGGGGGAGUAACACGUGAGUAACCUGCCCUUCACUUUGGGAUAACUUCAGGAAGCUGGAGCUAAUACCGUAUAGGAUCUCCUGCUGCAGGGUGGGCGUUGGAAAGUUUCGGCGGUUGGGGAUGGACGGGCGGCUUAUGAGCUUGCUGGUUGGGUAGUGGCUUACCAAGGCUUUGACGGGUAGCCUGCCUGAGAGGGUGACCGGCCACAUUGGGCCUGAGAUACGGCCCAGACUGCAACGGGAGGCAGCAGUGGGGAAUAUUGCACAAUGGGAGGAAGCCUGAUGCAGCAACGCCGCGUGCGGGAUGACGUCCUUCGGGUUGUGAAACGCUUCCGCUUGAGACGCAGCGUGAGUGACGGUAAUGGGAAAAGAAGCACCGGCUAACUACGUG